This 2508-nucleotide long non-coding RNA is filed under the name Ananas comosus (pineapple). RNAcentral describes it as "long non-coding RNA (ACOM_LNC022401)". Lineage: Eukaryota; Viridiplantae; Streptophyta; Magnoliopsida; Poales; Bromeliaceae. The record is from RNAcentral.
AAAGAGAUAAAAAGAAGGGGCAAUUGCUUAUUAAGCUUUGAAAAGUUUUCGACUUUUUAAUUUAUUCCUCUUAGAAUGCUAAUAUUGAAAAUAUUCUUUUUACGUUCAAAUUUAUUUCUAAUAUACUCCCAGAGUUAAAAUAUGUUAAUAAACGCUGUUAUCUUUAUAAAAUUACUAUUUUAUCCUUUCAAAUAUACCCUUCUAUCAUCGCCGACUUUUUCUUAUUUGCCCUUAAGUUAGAGGUACAAAAAGAAUUUUGCUUUUUGGUCUUUUCGAAUAUACCCUUCUAACAUCACCAAUAUUUCUUAUUUGUCCUUAAGUUAAGGACAAUAGUGGCAUUUUAAUUUUUUUUAACUGUGGUAGAUAUUUAACUCACGUUUAACCUAAGUUAACUUAACGGGUGGUAACUAUAGGGUAUUUUCGAAUAACGGAAAAAUAUAUGAAGGGUAUAUUAGAAAAAGAAAAAAAAAGAUAGGAAUAAAUGAGAUAUUUUCGAAGUUUUAAGAGGUAUAUAGGCAAUUAUUCCUAAAAAGAAAUUAUCAGAUUGCUAUACAAAUAUUAAAAUUGAUAAAAACUGUAAAUUUUAUAACUAUUUUGAUCAACCACUUUAGUUUUGAAUUAUGUUAAUAAUUUAAGAAUUUGUAAUUCCAUCGCAGCUAAAUUAACUCAAAUACCCCAAUCUUGACUGCUUCAUAAUUUAGACUAGUGGAGGCCCGCGCUUCGCGGCGGGAAAUUUAUAUUCCAGAAAUUAAAAGUAUAUAAUUUCGAAAUAUUUAAGGCAUGUUUUCGUAAUUUAGUAUUUAUAUAGAGUUUUGUUGGAGUAAAAUUUUCUUAAAUUAUAAACUUUUAUGUAUAUAGAAGGAUUUUGUUUUUUUAUUAUGAUUUUUAUUGGCAAAGUGUUUGUGUAUGAUUACGAAAAGAUAUGAUUAUCUAUAUUUAACUAUAAUUUUGUUAUCUUACUUACUAUGGAUUUUCAGACAGUUAAGCUGAACUGUUGAGAGUAAGGAGUUAUGCAGGAAAGUCUUUGUUAGCAAAGAGUUUGUAUAUGAGGGGAGAACGAUGUUAUUACUAUUAGAGUUGUUUCAAAGAGUUUGUGGGUAAUGGAGAAAAGUUGUUAUUAAUAUUAGGGUCUCUUCUAUUGAAUAUUUUUUAGAAUUCAGAUUAAUAAUAGUUUUUACUAUAGGGGAAGAAUGAACUUAUCUUAGUUAACUGCUGUAUCCAACUUUUGUGUUUGAAUUCGAAUUAGAUCCUGCGCUAAUUUUCCAAAUAUAGUAAAAUUUGCUAUGCAUUUGGGUUGACAUAUUUAAAGGAUAAAAAAGGAAUAUGAACAUGGGAAAAUGUUAUUUUCCAAAACAUUUGUGGAGAAAUUGAUUUUUGGCCACCAUAAGUAUAAUUCACUGUAAUUUUGAUUCCUUAUUAUGAAUUUAGUAUGAAAUCUUUUGAGAUAGGAAAAGCUGUUAUUGAUUUAAGAUUAUCUACAAAGAGUUUGUGUAUGAUGGAGAAAAGGUGUUAUUAAUAUUAGUGGCUAUUAUAUAGGGAAACAAAAGUAUAUAUCUUCUCCAUCUUUGUAUACCUUAUGAUGAUAUUUGGAAAGAAUGGAAAAUUGGAAAGUUUACUCAAUAAUGUUAUAAUUACACAAUUUAUCGUCUAUCGUAUGUAAAUAAACUCGAGGAAUGCAAUUUGCCACCCAACUUAUGUAAAUAUAAUUUUUCACCUGCAUUUGGAUUAAUAUAUUGAAAGUGUAUAAAAGAAUUUACCACGUAACAGGAGAUUGUUCAUUAUCGGUGCAAUGGGAAUACCAGAAUGUAUUGUCAUAUAUCUUGCUGAUUGCUUUGUAAUUAUGAUACAUUUUAUACCACCGGUCGUAUGAUGUGUUGAUUGCGAUAAUUUAAGUCUUACAUGUGAACUUUACAAUUUAUUAAUGAAAAUAUAGAAAGGAAUGAACUAAUACGGACAAAUAGUAGAAUAUAAAAUUGGGAAAAUGUUAUUUUCCUAAAACUUUGUGGAGAAAUAGGUUUUUGUUAACCAUAAGUAUAACUUAUUGUAAUUUUCGCAUGUGAAUUUGACAUUUUAUUAAUGAAAAGAUCAUGAGUUAUGAAAUAAUAUGAACAAAUAGUAGCAUAUGAAAAUGGAAAAAGGUUAUUUUCCAAAAUAUUUGUGGUAUUUGGGCAAAUAACUCAGAAUUUCAUGAUUUAUCGAAAAUUAUUGAUUUGACACUGAAGGUUAGUGCAUGAGAACUUAUAUAUGUAUCACAUAUUUUCAAAUAGAAAAAGAUGUUAUUAAUUUUAGAGUCUGUACAAAAAGUUUGUGCAUGAUGGGGAAAAUGUGUUAUUCAUAUUAGUGGCUUUUCUAUAGGGAGGGAAAAAAUAUAUAUCUUCUCCAUCUUUGUACACCCUAUGAUGAUGUUUGGAAAGAAUGGAAAUUUGAACAGUUUACAUUAUAAUGUUAAACUUAUGUAAUUUAUCAUCCACCGUAUGUAAAUAAACUCGAGUAAAUCUCCAGAUUUGU